UGUCUGGCAGUUCCCUACUCUCGCAUGGGGAGACCCCACACUACCAUCGGCGCUACGGCGUUUCACUUCUGAGUUCGGCAUGGGGUCAGGUGGGACCACCGCGCUACUGCCGCCA
This 115-nucleotide ribosomal RNA is filed under the name Escherichia coli 3431. Lineage: Bacteria; Pseudomonadati; Pseudomonadota; Gammaproteobacteria; Enterobacterales; Enterobacteriaceae. RNAcentral also lists the same sequence under 28 other names. The record is from RNAcentral.